GUGUGAGCGUGACGGGGCGGGAGAAGAAGUGAAGCGUAAACAAACAUGGCUGCCGUGCGGCGUUAGCUCCGAACAGAACCGACCUUUUUCCCCCAAAGCUUCGCCUUAAAGCGGACGGAGCCUCCGAAACAUGGCGGAGGUGAAGCUGGAGGAGGAGCGGGAGCUGAUGGAGGUGAUGGAGGUGAAGGAUGAAGAUCACAGUUUGGUCGGGGAGUUCAAAGAGGAGCCGGACGGCGGAGGUUUCCAGAGUCUGUUCCACAUGAAGGAAGAACCGGAGGAAGUGAGGAUCAAACCGGAGCUCCGCGAGGACUGUCCGUACGUCCGCGUCGUGGUGAAGAGCGAGGAUGAAGCCGAGGACGGCGACGGCGCAGGCUCAGACAAACCUCUGGAGAGCGAAGAACAGAGCGAGCGUUCCUCCGACACCGACGACUCCGAAGACUGGACCCUUUCGGCGUCACAAACGUUCGACGAGCGGCUGCAGGGACCGGCUCUCGGGAACACAGAGGGGAGCGACGCGGAGGCUCCGGCCAAACGCCACAUCUGCUCUCACUGCGGAAAAGAGUUUCCCUACAAGGCCUUUUUAACCCGACACAUGAAGACUCACACCGGAGAGAAACCUUUCAGGUAGGGAUGUCAAGAUGAACCGGUUUUACGAUUACCACGAUUAUAAAAGGACGCGGUAGGUUUUCCGUAAGAAUUUCAGAAGCCACGGUUUACCGCGGAA
RNAcentral lists this long non-coding RNA (724 nucleotides) under Neogobius melanostomus (round goby). Its description in RNAcentral is "lncRNA (ENSNMLG00000001794.1)". Lineage: Eukaryota; Metazoa; Chordata; Actinopteri; Gobiiformes; Gobiidae. The record is from RNAcentral.